Hypanus sabinus (Atlantic stingray) is the source of this 1974-nucleotide long non-coding RNA. RefSeq lists it as uncharacterized. The record is from RefSeq and is a predicted model, not a curated record. The transcript has 3 exons. NCBI's taxonomy places the organism in Eukaryota, Metazoa, Chordata, Chondrichthyes, Myliobatiformes, Dasyatidae.
GGCCAGUGUGCCGGCUCCCUCUGCGGAGGAAGGACGGCGCUGAGAACGUUAGGUUAUGCAGUGAGUUUGCAAAAAGCAGACACACAUAAAAUGCUGGAGGAACUCAGCAGGUCAGGCAGUGUCUAUAGAUUGGAUUAAGCAGUCAACAUUUCUGGUUGAGACCCUUCAUCAGGACUGGAAAGGAAAGGAGCGGAAACCGGAAUUAAAAGACAGUCACAAAACAAAGAAAACUGCGGAGUCUGUUCAAAGAAAUACAUCAAACAGCCCUUCACAAAAACACACCGCCCAAGCAGCAACAAAAAGCACAGAUUUAAAAGCAGAAAAUUGCAAGAGUCCAGAUGCUGUCUGAUUUGCUGAGUUCCUCCAGAACUUUGUGUGCAUUGCCCAAGAUUUCCAGCAGCAGGAGAGUGCUGAUGUUCAUGAUUUGCAGAAAGCAGGCAUGUAAUCGUUGCACUGGGCAGGUGUUGAAUUGGUGUACACUUCUGCCUUUCUGCUGGUUUGGGAGUCCAGAAUAGUGGAUUAUUACCUGGAAAGUGGGCUGAUCUCAGGAAGGCCAUUUCCACACAAGGGAGAAUAGUUCUCUUCAGGGCAGAAUCAGCAUCCGGUUUAUUAUCACUGAUUUACGUCAUAAAUGCAGCAGCAGUGCAGUGCAAGACAAAAAAUUACUAUAAAUUACAAUGAGAACAUACGUUAAAAACAAAUAAUAAAUAGAGCCAAAGGUGUGAGGCAGUGUUCCUGGGCUCAAUGGCCAUUCAGAAUCUGAUGGCGGAGGGGAAGAAGCUGUUCCUGAAUCACUGACUGUGUGUCUUCAGACUCCUGGACCUCCUCCCCGAUGGUAGCAACGAGAAGAGGAUAUGUCCUGUGUGGUGAGAGUUCUUCAUGAUGGAUGCUACCAUCUUGAGGCAUCACCUAUUGAAGAUGUCCUUGAUGGAAAACAUAAAACUGUACAGCAUACUACAGGGGCUUCGGCCCAGAACCUUUGAAUUCCUCCAGCAAAGAUUGUUUGUUGCUCUGGAUUCCAGUAUCUGCGGUCCCUAGCGUCUCCUAAACAGAAAUUAGGAUGCUGUGAGGAUUUUUCCAGCAGGAAGUAAAGAGGCUGAAUGGCUUCUCUACCCUGGAGUUUGUCAUUGAUCUGAUAAAGAACAUGAGAUAUCUGCAGGCACCAAGGUGAUUUAUAUAUAUACAGUGGAAUUUGGUUAAUUGUGCCAAUGUUAAUCAGGCAGCCAUUUAUCUGGGAACUCUUAAAGAACAAAAAACUAAGUGAGAAAAUAGUUGGGAUUCCAUUCGCAUAUCUGGGACUCUGCACUGCUUAAUUGUGGCAGAAGACUUGCUGAACAGUUUCUAAGUAGCGUCAGUUGUGUGCACUUGGGUGGACAUUAGACCCUGCGCUGUGAUUACUGCAAACUGUUUUGAAUAGUGUCAGCUGUGUAUGUUUGUGUUCAAAGCGCAGUGAUUUUUGUCACUGAUAGUUGGCGAGCAAUAGCAGUAAGACAAUUCAGAACUGUUUUGCUCACUGCGGCUUCAAGCAUUCAGGCUCGGAGAUGCCAGAAACCACUGGGAGUGAAAAUGAAAUGAUUUUGUACUUCAAGUUAGGAACUAUGAGGGUAUCAACAAUCACCUUGAAUGUUACAAUGAAAAUGAAGAUUUGAAGGAUGCAAUUGUCAAAAGCAUUGUGUGUAGGCAGUCCAUUAUCUGCAGUAGGUGUCUGGACUGGUUUUGUUUAUUUACAACUGAAAGAACAUAAUGUGGAUGAAUUCCUCAGUUGAAAAGUAUUAGGAACUAAUAGACAAUUUUAUAGUACUGUAGUAGUAUUGGUAAUGUUCUAAUUUGUUCUGUAUUUCAUUUAAAAACAUAAUUUGCUACUCUGUUUGUAUUUUAUGCAUUUUUAACUAUUUCCAUGAAACUUCAGCUAAUUGGGGCAGCUGCUCAUUUGGGCCAAAAUGUCCCAAUUAACCGGAUUCCACUGUAUUCAAA